GACGAACGCUGGCGGCGUGCUUAACACAUGCAAGUCGAACGGAAAGGCCCCCUUGUGGGGUCCUCGAGUGGCGAACGGGUGAGUAACACGUGAGUAACCUACCCUUGACUUUGGGAUAACUUCAGGAAACUGGGGCUAAUACCGGAUAGGAGCUCCUGCUGCAUGGUGGGGGUUGGAAAGUUUCGGCGGUUGGGGAUGGGCUCGCGGCUUAUCAGCUUGUUGGUGGGGUAGUGGCUCACCAAGGCUUUGACGGGUAGCCGGCCUGAGAGGGGGACCGGCCAAGUGGGGAGAGAGGUAGGGCAGGGACUCCAGCGGGAGGCAGCAGGGCGGGAGGGGGCAGGAUGGGCGGAGUGUUGAAGCAGCAAUGCCGCGGGCGGGAUGAGGGCGUGCGGGUUGGAAGCAGAUUACCCCGGUGAGAAACGGUGAGGGAAGGAGAUGGAUAAAGAAGCAACGCCUCAAUACGUG
RNAcentral lists this ribosomal RNA (465 nucleotides) under uncultured bacterium. RNAcentral describes it as "partial 16S ribosomal RNA". It matches the Rfam family "Bacterial small subunit ribosomal RNA", at positions 28 to 507 of the family's 1533-position model. The record is from RNAcentral.